This 406-nucleotide ribosomal RNA is filed under the name uncultured bacterium. Its description in RNAcentral is "partial 16S ribosomal RNA". It matches the Rfam family "Bacterial small subunit ribosomal RNA", at positions 30 to 526 of the family's 1533-position model. The record is from RNAcentral.
AUUGAACGCUGGCGGCAGGCCUAACACAUGCAAGUCGAACGAGUGGCGGACGGGUGAGUAAUGUCUGGGAAACUGCCUGAUGGGGGGGGGUAACUAAUGGAAACGGUAGCUAAUACCCAAUACCAUCAGUAGUGCCCAUAUGGGAUUAGCUAGUUGGGGGGGUAACGGCUCACCAAGGCGACGAUCCCUCGCUGGUCUGAGAGGAUGACCAGCCACACUGGCACUGAGAAACGGUCCAGACGCCUACGGGAGGCAGCAGUGGGGAAUAUUGCACAAUGGGCGCAAGCCUGAUGCAGCCAUGCCGCGUGUAUGAAGAAGGCCUUCGGGUUGUAAAGUACUUGCAGCGGGGAGGCGUUACCCGCAGAAGAAGCACCGGCUAACUCCGUGCCAGCAGCCGCGGUAAUUC